RNAcentral lists this unclassified non-coding RNA (213 nucleotides) under plant metagenome. RNAcentral describes it as "partial contains small subunit ribosomal RNA, internal transcribed spacer 1, and 5.8S ribosomal RNA". The record is from RNAcentral.
UUUCCGUAGGUGAACCUGCGGAAGGAUCAUUUAUAAUAAGUGUUUUAUGGCACUUUUUUAAAUCCAUAUCCACCUUGUGUGCAAUGUCAGGGUUGAUUUUUCUCUCGAGAGGAUCAACCCCAAACAUCAACUAUAUCUCAACUCUUUGUCUGAAAAAUAUUAUGAAUAAAACAAUUCAAAAUACAACUUUCAACAACGGAUCUCUUGGCUCUC